Molecule: RNA transcript, 721 nt
Organism: Daucus carota subsp. sativus
Lineage: Eukaryota; Viridiplantae; Streptophyta; Magnoliopsida; Apiales; Apiaceae
Exons: 2
Source: RefSeq, a predicted model, not a curated record
AGAAGUAGGAGCCAAUCAAAAUGCUCCAAAUGCAAAAAUUUCCGCGCUUAGCAUGUGCCCAUGGGCACACCAUAGGAAAACCGAUAUAAAUAAAGUUGUUCAUGUGAAUAGUCUUAAGACCAACAUAGAUAGAUCGAUUGAUCUGAGAAUGGAAAAAUCAAAGAGAAAUCUUGCGCUGCUUAUAUUUUCAGCUUUUCUACUCUUGUUCCCUCAUGUAAUAAUCUCCACAGCUGCUUUAGACCAAGAAAAACAAAGCGUUUCUGACAAGUUUAGAGGUUUGUAUUCUGUAGUUACGUCUUCCUCCAUGUCCUGUUGGCAGAAGCUUAAAACCCUCGUCAAUGAUGUUCAGUUACGAUAUUUUCCUCCCAGUCUCGAUUUUAGGCCCAAGGUUGAAGAAGAAAUAGAGGAACAAGGGUCAAAAGAAUGGAUGAAAGAGGCGGUGAAGAAGAGUCUGGGAUCGAGUAAAUCGACGGUGGAGGAAACCGCGAAAUCAGCCGCUAGUGCGGUUGGGGAAGUGGUGCACAAGACCAAGGAGAAGGUGGCAAAGAAGCAGUGUACUGGAGAUGGCUGUCCUCAUGAAGAACUUUAAAUUUUUUGUAUUCUGUUCUGUAUUUCUUGUCAUGUAUAACAAGUUUUAGUAGUAGUACUAGUUCAAAACAUGUAAUGUUGAUUCAUUGUACAAUCUUGGGUUCAGUUAUUGUCACCAUAGACUUUUAAACCA